RNAcentral lists this transfer RNA (68 nucleotides) under Marmota monax (woodchuck). Its description in RNAcentral is "tRNA.Ala". The record is from RNAcentral. Lineage: Eukaryota; Metazoa; Chordata; Mammalia; Rodentia; Sciuridae.
GGAUUGUGGCUCAGCGGUAGAGCGCUUGCCUAGCAUGUAUGAGGCCCUGGGUUCAAUCCUCAUCACCA